UCUCAAACGGGGCCAAGGGAGUGAAAGCAUUAUCCGUCAGCAUCAUGAUUACCUGAAACAAGAAGCACAGCAAGGGGCAUCAGCUCUCCAACAAGAUUUACAGGGAGAUCUCUGCCAGCACCCUAUGAACCAGGCCCCUUGUUAAAGGCACUUCGAAAAUUCCCAAAACUGUGGCUUAGAGCAGGGGCUCAUUUAACAAAGAGACAUCAUUUUCAUUACCAUCUCCCUCCCACUGCCAAAUUUGAUUGAAAAUCAAGCACGUCGGCUG
This is a long non-coding RNA of Podarcis raffonei (Aeolian wall lizard), 268 nucleotides long. RefSeq lists it as uncharacterized. Lineage: Eukaryota; Metazoa; Chordata; Lepidosauria; Squamata; Lacertidae. The transcript is spliced from 3 exons. The record is from RefSeq and is a predicted model, not a curated record.